RNAcentral lists this ribosomal RNA (499 nucleotides) under uncultured bacterium. Its description in RNAcentral is "bacterial SSU rRNA". It matches the Rfam family "Bacterial small subunit ribosomal RNA", at positions 28 to 528 of the family's 1533-position model. The record is from RNAcentral.
GAUGAACGCUAGCGGGAGGCUUAACACAUGCAAGUCGAGGGGUAAAUGGUAGCAAUACUAUGAGACCGGCGAACGGGUGCGUAACGCGUAUGCAACUUACCUUAUGCAGGGGGAUAGCCCGUGGAAACGCGGAUUAAUAUCCCAUAGAUCAGUAAUAUCGCAUGGUAUAACUGGUAAAACUCAGGUGGCAUAAGAUGGGCAUGCGUCUGAUUAGCUAGUUGGUAGGGUAACGGCCUACCAAGGCGACGAUCAGUAGGGGUUCUGAGAGGAUUAACCCCCACACUGGUACUGAGACACGGACCAGACUCCUACGGGAGGCAGCAGUGAGGAAUAUUGGUCAAUGGGCGCAAGCCUGAACCAGCCAUCCCGCGUGAAGGAAGAAGGCCCUACGGGUUGUAAACUUCUUUUCUGUUUGAAGAAUAAGCUCGUCGAGACGAGUGAUGCCGGUAGGACAGGAAUAAGCAUCGGCUAACUCCGUGCCAGCAGCCGCGGUAAACGU